RNAcentral lists this ribosomal RNA (497 nucleotides) under uncultured bacterium. RNAcentral's name for it is "partial 16S ribosomal RNA". It matches the Rfam family "Bacterial small subunit ribosomal RNA", at positions 28 to 507 of the family's 1533-position model. The record is from RNAcentral.
GAUGAACGCUGGCGGCGUGCCUAAUACAUGCAAGUCGAGCGAACGGACGAGAAGCUUGCUUCUCUGAUGUUAGCGGCGGACGGGUGAGUAACACGUGGAUAACCUACCUAUAAGACUGGGAUAACUUCGGGAAACCGGAGCUAAUACCGGAUAAUAUUUUGAACCGCAUGGUUCAAAAGUGAAAGACGGUCUUGCUGUCACUUAUAGAUGGAUCCGCGCUGCAUUAGCUAGUUGGUAAGGUAACGGCUUACCAAGGCAACGAUGCAUAGCCGACCUGAGAGGGUGAUCGGCCACACUGGAACUGAGACUCGGUCCAGACUCCUACGGGAGGCAGCAGUAGGGAAUCUUCCGCAAUGGGCGAAAGCCUGACGGAGCAACGCCGCGUGAGUGAUGAAGGUCUUCGGAUCGUAAAACUCUGUUAUUAGGGAAGAACAUAUGUGUAAGUAACUGUGCACAUCUUGACGGUACCUAAUCAGAAAGCCACGGCUAACUACGUG